This is a microRNA precursor of Chloebia gouldiae (Gouldian finch), 101 nucleotides long. NCBI's taxonomy places the organism in Eukaryota, Metazoa, Chordata, Aves, Passeriformes, Passeridae. The record is from Ensembl.
GAGCAAGCGCAGGAGCUGCUGCCUCGCACAGGAGCAAAUUACCGCGUUCAGCUAAUCCGCAGUAACUUGCUCCUGUGAGAGGUAGCGGCUCCUGGCUCCUC